UACGUAGGGAGCGAGCGUUGUCCGGAAUUACUGGGCGUAAAGGGUGCGUAGGCGGCUUGGCAAGUCAGAUGUGAAAUCCCCGGGCUUAACUCGGGGGGUGCAUUUGAAACUACCAGGCUUGAGUGCAGGAGAGGAAAGCGGAAUUCCUAGUGUAGCGGUGAAAUGCGUAGAUAUUAGGAAGAACACCAGUGGCGAAGGCGGCUUUCUGGACUGUAACUGACGCUGAGGCACGAAAGCGUGGGGAGCAAGCAGGAUUAGAUACCCUGGUAGUCCACGCUGUAAACGAUGGAGACUAGGUGUGGGGGAGAUACAACCUCUGUGCCGGAGCUAACGCAAUAAGUAUCCCGCCUGGGGAGUACGGUCGCAAGACUGAA
This 374-nucleotide ribosomal RNA is filed under the name uncultured bacterium. RNAcentral's name for it is "bacterial SSU rRNA". It matches the Rfam family "Bacterial small subunit ribosomal RNA", at positions 524 to 898 of the family's 1533-position model. The record is from RNAcentral.